GGAGGGUGCAAGCGUUGUUCGGGAAUUACUGGGCGUAAAGCGCGGGCAGGUGGUCCUUUAAGUCCCUUGUGAAAUUCCGGAGCUCAACUCCGGGAUGUGCGUGGGAUACUGGGGGACUGGAGACUGGUAGAGGCGAGCGGAAUUCCUGGUGUAGCGGUGGAAUGCGUAGAUAUCAGGAAGAACACCGGUGGCGAAGGCGGCUCGCUGGGCCAGUUCUGACACUCAUCCGCGAAAGCGUGGGGAGCAAACAGGAUUAGAUACCCUGGUAGUCCACGCCGUAAACGAUGGGCACUAGAUGCCGGGUCUAUAGACGGAUUCGGUGUCGCAGCUAACGCAUUAAGUGCCCCGCCUGGGGAGUACGGCCGCAAAGGCUG
Molecule: ribosomal RNA, 374 nt
Filed under: uncultured organism
Description: partial 16S ribosomal RNA
Rfam family: Bacterial small subunit ribosomal RNA
Source: RNAcentral